RNAcentral lists this ribosomal RNA (426 nucleotides) under uncultured bacterium. RNAcentral's name for it is "bacterial SSU rRNA". It matches the Rfam family "Bacterial small subunit ribosomal RNA", at positions 355 to 774 of the family's 1533-position model. The record is from RNAcentral.
UGGGGAAUCUUGCGCAAUGGGCGAAAGCCUGACGCAGCGACGCCGCGUGGGUGAUGAAGGCCUUCGGGUUGUAAAGCUCUGUGGGGAGAGACGAAUAAGACGUGGCUAACAUCCACGGCGAUGACGGUAUCUCCUUAGCAAGCACCGGCUAACUCUGUGCCAGCAGCCGCGGUAAGACAGAGGGUGCAAACGUUGUUCGGAAUUACUGGGCGUAAAGCGUGUGUAGGCGGCCAGGUAAGUUGGAUGUGAAAGCCCGGGGCUCAACCCCGGAAGUGCAUUCAAAACUGCUUGGCUUGAGUAUCGGAGAGGUUGGUGGAAUUCUCGGUGUAGAGGUGAAAUUCGUAGAUAUCGAGAGGAACACCGGUGGCGAAGGCGGCCAACUGGACGAAUACUGACGCUGAGACACGAAAGCGUGGGGAGCAAACA